RNAcentral lists this small RNA (1477 nucleotides) under Arabidopsis thaliana (thale cress). Its description in RNAcentral is "ATSL033680". The record is from RNAcentral. Lineage: Eukaryota; Viridiplantae; Streptophyta; Magnoliopsida; Brassicales; Brassicaceae.
AUUUCAGAAAAUAAUUUCACAAAAAAAAAGAGUGUUCAUGUAGUUGCAUUACAUUUAGGAUUGAGUCUAGAGUGUUUCAUUUAGGAUUGUUGCAUGUGUAUAGGGGAUAAUGAUGAGAUAGCCUUGUAAGCAUUUUGGUUCACCGGAUAAACUCAGUGCCCUCGUUGCUUGUUGUCUGUUGCAUAGUCAAUGAAUUUGAAAUAAAACUGAACCAUGCCUAGAUUUCUACUCGACCACACUAUCAUGAUCUGAUACCAUUCCCUAUCAAUUUGAACCUGAAUCUGAUCUUUAAUUAUCAUGUCUGCAUCAAAUUUGAACUCAUGCAUACCCUAAAAUACUUGGAUUUUCUUAUUCAUUUUGAUCACUCUUGUUAAUCCAAGUAGCUGACUCUCCAUAUUAGAGCAGUUAACCCAAACCCAAACCUAGACUUUCUUUCAAGCCCUAUAUCACUUGUGAGUGUUUGUGAGGUCUUAUUCCGAUUAAGCUUGGUAGAAAAUGUUAGCUUCGUAACGACAGAGAUAAUGUCUCAUGUAGUUCUACUUCGCAUUUUUCGGACUAGAUAGGACUAGGUGGGCGCUUAUACUUUGGGUUGGGAUGUGUUUAAAAAAAAAAAAAAGGGUUGAUUCAUUGAUGAGAAAAGGUAAAAGACUCUAGGUGAAGUAAGCUAAAGAAGCAGAAAAAGUCUAGUAAAGGUUUUUGGAUUUGUAAAGAAAAGAAGGAGUUCUUGUUAACUAUUGAAGAUGGGCAAAAGCCCUCGGUUUUAAAAUGUUAAAAACAGGAACCUUAGUUGUUAAAGAAAUCCAAAUCCGCUAGAUGUAUCACAGUGUUGAGAAAGCUUCUCCUAGAGUUAAGAGAAAAGAAAAGAAUGAUUAGAAAAAAAAGGCUUAAAAGAUUCAUGAAUGCAAAGGGUAGAGUUAAGUUCUUAUAUUGGGAUUGGAGAUGGGAUUACCAUUAGACCUUCAUUUGAUAUACUCUGGGUAGAUGAGAUCUUAUCUCUGUAUGCAUAGCAUGGGACUUACCUUUAGCAUUCUACUAAAGCUUAAUCAUUUUUUGAGAGAUCCCCUGUUACUGAAGCCUAUUCUGUAAGGGACCAUCUUUGUCUCUUGACCUUUUACCUUAGCCAAAUGAGUUCAUUGAUGAUGCAUUGCUUGAUUCACGUUCCAGAACUAAUGAAUGUUAAAGGGAUUGAUAGAUUUGAAAACAUGUGUAGGUCGAGCAUAUGAGUCGGAUUGAUUGAUAAUAAGGCAUGGCUAAAGUUUUUGAGUAGAAUUCGACCAUAUCGCAGCUUAGAACUAUCAACUUGGACAUUGAUUUCAUCAGGUUUAACAGGUUCUUUGGCUCUGAGUCCCCGCUUUCAAGCCUCACCUCCAGCUUGUUCUUGAUUGUUUGCUUGAAGGCAAGCAAAGACUAAGUUUGGAGGAGUUGAUAAGUGUGUAUUUUGCAUGUUUUAAGCAUCCAUUUGUCAUUACUUUAAAAC